GGUGACUGCGUACCUUUUGUAUAAUGGGUCAGCGACUUAUAUUUUGUAGCGAGGUUAACCGGAUAGGGGAGCCGAAGGGAAACCGAGUCUUAACUGGGCGACAAGUUGCAAGAUAUAGACCCGAAACCCGGUGAUCUAGCCAUGGGCAGGAAGAAGGUUGGGUAACACUAACUGGAGGGCCGAACCGACUACUGUUGAAAAAGUAGCGGAUGACCUGUGGCUGGGGGUGAAAGGCCAAUCAAACCGGGAGAUAGCUGGUUCUCCCCGAAAUCUAUUUAGGUAGAGCCUUAUAUGAAUACCUUCGGGGGUAGAGCACUGUUUCGGCUAGGGGUCCAUCCCGGAUUACCAACCCGAUGCAAACUGCGAAUACCGAAGAGUAAUGUAUAGGAGACACACGGCGGGUGCUAACGUUCGUCGUGGAGAGGGAAACAACCCAGACCGCCAGCUAAGGUCCCAAAGUCUAUAUUAAGUGGGAAACGAAGUGGAAAGGCUUAGACAGCUAGGAUGUUGGCUUAGAAGCAGCCAUCAUUUAAAGAAAGCGUAAUAGCUCACUAGUCGAGUCGGUCUGCGCGGAAGAUGUAACGGGGCUAAAAUAUAGCACCGAAGCUGCGGCAUCAGGCGUAUCACACAUACGCCUUACGAUUAACACCUUGCGAAGCAAGGUGGUCAAGCGACUUACACGUUGAGGUGUGAGCGGGAGGGAUAAUCGAAGAGAGGAAUAUGUGUGAUACGUCUGUUGGGUAGGGGAGCGUUGUGUAAGCUGAAGAAGGUGGUUCGAGAGGGCUGCUGGAGGUAUCACAAGUGCGAAUGCUGACAUAAGUAACGAUAAAGCGGGUGAAAGGCCCGCUCGCCGGAAGACCAAGGUUUCCUGUCCAACGUUAAUCGGGGCAGGGUGAGUCGGCCCCUAAGGCGAGGCUGAGAAGCGUAGUCGAUGGGAAAUGGGUUAAUAUUCCCAUACUUGGAUAAACUGCGAUGUGGGGACGGAGCAGGUUAGGUUAGCGUACGGAUGGAAGAGUACGUUUAAGUUAGUAGGUGGGUGAGUUAGGCAAAUCCGGCUCACCAUUAACACUGAGAGAUGAUGACGAAGCUCUACGGAGCUGAAGUAACUGAUACCCAACUUCCAGGAAAAGCCACUAAGCUUCAGGUUUAUCUAAACCGUACUGGAAACCGACACAGGUGGUCAGGUAGAGAAUACUAAGGCGCUUGAGAGAACUCGGGUGAAGGAACUAGGCAAAAUAGCACCGUAACUUCGGGAGAAGGUGCGCUGGCGUAGUGUGAAGUUCUUCGCGAAUGGAGCACGAACCAGUCGAAGCGACGAGCUGGCUGCAACUGUUUAAUAAAAACACAGCACUCUGCAAACACGAAAGUGGACGUAUAGGGUGUGAUGCCUGCCCGGUGCUGGAAGGUUAAUUGAUGGUGUUAUCGAAAGAGAAGCACCUGAUCGAAGCCCCAGUAAACGGCGGCCGUAACUAUAACGGUCCUAAGGUAGCGAAAUUCCUUGUCGGGUAAGUUCCGACCUGCACGAAUGGCAUAAUGAUGGCCAGGCUGUCUCCACCCGAGACUCAGUGAAAUUGAAAUCGCCGUGAAGAUGCGGUGUACCCGCGGCUAGACGGAAAGACCCCGUGAACCUUUACUAUAGCUUGACACUGAACCUUGAAUUUUAAUGUGUAGGAUAGGUGGGAGACUAAGAAGCGGUAACGCCAGUUAUCGUGGAGUCGAUGUUGAAAUACCACCCUUUAACGUUUGAUGUUCUAACGAAGCACCUGGAACGGGUGUUCGGACAGUGUCUGGUGGGUAGUUUGACUGGGGCGGUCUCCUCCCAAAGCGUAACGGAGGAGCACGAAGGUUGGCUAAUGACGGUCGGACAUCGUCAGGUUAGUGCAAUGGUAGAAGCCAGCUUAACUGCGAGACGGACAAGUCGAGCAGGUACGAAAGUAGGUCAUAGUGAUCCGGUGGUUCUGAAUGGAAGGGCCAUCGCUCAACGGAUAAAAGGUACUCCGGGGAUAACAGGCUGAUACCGCCCAAGAGUUCAUAUCGACGGCGGUGUUUGGCACCUCGAUGUCGGCUCAUCACAUCCUGGGGCUGAAGUAGGUCCCAAGGGUAUGGCUGUUCGCCAUUUAAAGUGGUACGCGAGCUGGGUUUAGAACGUCGUGAGACAGUUCGGUCCCUAUCUGCCGUGGGCGUUGGAGGAUUGAGGGGGGUUGCUCCUAGUACGAGAGGACCGGAGUGAACGCACCGCUGGUGUUCCAGUUGUUUCGCCAGAAGCAUUGCUGGGUAGCUAAGUGCGGAAGA
Molecule: ribosomal RNA, 2292 nt
Filed under: Gallibacterium anatis
Lineage: Bacteria; Pseudomonadati; Pseudomonadota; Gammaproteobacteria; Pasteurellales; Pasteurellaceae
Description: bacterial LSU rRNA
Rfam family: Bacterial large subunit ribosomal RNA
Source: RNAcentral